GAUGAACGCUGGCGGCGUGCCUAAUACAUGCAAGUCGAGCGAACGGACGAGAAGCUUGCUUCUCUGAUGUUAGCGGCGGACGGGUGAGUAACACGUGGAUAACCUACCUAUAAGACUGGGAUAACUUCGGGAAACCGGAGCUAAUACCGGAUGAUAUUUUGAACCGCAUGGUUCAAAAGUGAAAGACGGUCUUGCUGUCACUUAUAGAUGGAUCCGCGCUGCAUUAGCUAGUUGGUAAGGUAACGGCUUACCAAGGCAACGAUGCAUAGCCGACCUGAGAGGGUGAUCGGCCACACUGGAACUGAGACACGGUCCAGACUCCUACGGGAGGCAGCAGUAGGGAAUCUUCCGCAAUGGGCGAAAGCCUGACGGAGCAACGCCGCGUGAGUGAUGAAGGUCUUCGGAUCGUAAAACUCUGUUAUUAGGGAAGAGCAUAUGUGUAAGUAACUGUGCACAUCUUGGCGGUACCUAAUCAGAAAGCCACGGCUAACUACGUG
Molecule: ribosomal RNA, 497 nt
Filed under: uncultured bacterium
Lineage: Bacteria
Description: partial 16S ribosomal RNA
Rfam family: Bacterial small subunit ribosomal RNA
Source: RNAcentral